AGUCGAGCGGAGACGACACUAACAAUCCUUCGGGUGCGUUAAUGGGCGUCGAGCGGCGGACGGGUGAGUAAUGCCUAGGAAAUUGCCUUGAUGUGGGGGAUAACCAUUGGAAACGAUGGCUAAUACCGCAUAAUGCCUACGGGCCAAAGAGGGGGACCUUCGGGCCUCUCGCGUCAAGAUAUGCCUAGGUGGGAUUAGCUAGUUGGUGAGGUAAUGGCUCACCAAGGCGACGAUCCCUAGCUGGUCUGAGAGGAUGAUCAGCCACACUGGAACUGAGACACGGUCCAGACUCCUACGGGAGGCAGCAGUGGGGAAUAUUGCACAAUGGGCGAAAGCCUGAUGCAGCCAUGCCGCGUGUAUGAAGAAGGCCUUCGGGUUGUAAAGUACUUUCAGUUGUGAGGAAGGGGGUAGCGUUAAUAGCGCUAUCUCUUGACGUUAGCAACAGAAGAAGCACCGGCUAACUCCGUGCCAGCAGCCGCGGUAAUACGGAGGGUGCGAGCGUUAAUCGGAAUUACUGGGCGUAAAGCGCAUGCAGGUGGUUCAUUAAGUCAGAUGUGAAAGCCCGGGGCUCAACCUCGGAACUGCAUUUGAAACUGGUGAACUAGAGUACUGUAGAGGGGGUAGAAUUUCAGGUGUAGCGGUGAAAUGCGUAGAGAUCUGAAGGAAUACCAGUGGCGAAGCGGCCCCUGGACAGAUACUGACACUCAGAUGCGAAAGCGUGGGGAGCAAACAGGAU
Molecule: ribosomal RNA, 736 nt
Filed under: Vibrio sp. ACH-60
Lineage: Bacteria; Pseudomonadati; Pseudomonadota; Gammaproteobacteria; Vibrionales; Vibrionaceae
Description: bacterial SSU rRNA
Rfam family: Bacterial small subunit ribosomal RNA
Source: RNAcentral